Non-coding RNA from Caenorhabditis elegans, 145 nucleotides. The record is from Ensembl. NCBI's taxonomy places the organism in Eukaryota, Metazoa, Nematoda, Chromadorea, Rhabditida, Rhabditidae.
GUAAAUCCCAUGGGGUAAAAGAAAAAAUGAGCAAAAAAUAGUGAAACACACCUGGCUCCGUACUGACGCAAACGCUGUGCCAUGUAUGAGACACUGAAGAGUUGCGGUUAACGGAUACCAACUCGAAGCAGUAUUUCUCGUGGAU